Molecule: ribosomal RNA, 848 nt
Filed under: uncultured bacterium
Lineage: Bacteria
Description: bacterial SSU rRNA
Rfam family: Bacterial small subunit ribosomal RNA
Source: RNAcentral
GUCGAACGGGGCGGCGGGGAGGAAUCCCUUCGGGGAGGAGACCCCGCGGCCUAGUGGCGGACGGGUGAGUAACGCGUGGGCAACCUGCCCCAUACCGGGGGAUAACAGCCGGAAACGGCUGCUAACACCGCAUAAGCGCUGGGGGCCGCAUGGCUCCCAGCGGAAAACUCCGGUGGUAUGGGAUGGGCCCGCGUCUGAUUAGGCAGUUGGCGGGGCAGCGGCCCACCAAACCGACGAUCAGUAGCCGGCCUGAGAGGGUGGACGGCCACAUUGGGACUGAGACACGGCCCAAACUCCUACGGGAGGCAGCAGUGGGGGAUAUUGCACAAUGGGGGAAACCCUGAUGCAGCGACGCCGCGUGAGUGAAGAAGCAUUUCGGUGUGUAAAGCUCUAUCAGCAGGGAAGAAGAAAUGACGGUACCUGACUAAGAAGCCCCGGCUAACUACGUGCCAGCAGCCGCGGUAAUACGUAGGGGGCAAGCGUUAUCCGGAUUUACUGGGUGUAAAGGGAGCGUAGACGGCAAUGCAAGUCCGAUGUGAAAACCCAGGGCUCAACCGUGGGAGUGCAUUGGAAACUGAAUGGCUGGAGUGCAGGAGAGGUAAGCGGAAUUCCUGGUGUAGCGGUGAAAUGCGUAGAUAUCAGGAGGAACACCAGUGGCGAAGGCGGCUUACUGGACUGUAACUGACGUUGAGGCUCGAAAGCGUGGGGAGCAAACAGGAUUAGAUACCCUGGUAGUCCACGCCGUANACGAUGAAUACUAGGUGUCGGGGGUUNACGGACGCCCGGUGCCGCAGCAAACGCAAUAAGUAUUCCACCUGGGGAGUACGUUCGCAAGAAUGAAACUCAAA